RNAcentral lists this transfer RNA (79 nucleotides) under Streptomyces cacaoi. RNAcentral describes it as "tRNA-Arg". Lineage: Bacteria; Bacillati; Actinomycetota; Actinomycetes; Kitasatosporales; Streptomycetaceae. The record is from RNAcentral.
GGUCCUCGGGGAUCCACUGGUGCAGAGCGGCCUGUUCGGCGGGCCCGAAGGCGGGCAGUUCGAGUCCGGCGGAGGCCGC